This 253-nucleotide ribosomal RNA is filed under the name uncultured bacterium. RNAcentral's name for it is "partial 16S ribosomal RNA". It matches the Rfam family "Bacterial small subunit ribosomal RNA", at positions 524 to 776 of the family's 1533-position model. The record is from RNAcentral.
UACGGAGGGUGCGAGCGUUGUCCGGAAUCACUGGCGUAAAGGGCGCGUAGGCGGCCUGAUAAGUAGGGGGUGAAAUCCUGCGGCUUAACCGCAGGGCUGCCUUCUAAACUGUCAGGCUGGAGCACAGUAGAGGCAGGUGGAAUUCCCGGUGUAGCGGUGGAAUGCGUAGAGAUCGGGAAGAACAUCAGUGGCGAAGGCGGCCUGCUGGGCUGUUGCUGACGCUGAGGCGCGACAGCGUGGGGAGGCAAACAGG